CUGUGAGCCAUAGUAGGAUCUUGUGCAUUGCUCUCUUGUAGCACUCAUCAUGUCCUAGUAUCAUUAUCAGCCUAAUUGUACGUCUCCUAUCAGGUCCUGAUCAUUUUCACUAGCGUCAAGUGCAGGGUCAGACAUCUUGUUGGUUCCCCUGUUGGAAGUGUCUGUUGGAAGAAUGAAUUGAUGGGAUUAGUGGGAUGAAGAGUUUAAGGUGUGGAACAGAACCACAAUUUUUCUAAUCAGAUUCCUUACUCCGGUGUGGAGCAUGGACAGCCUGGUCCGAGUGUGCAAAGCUGUGGCUUCCCCUCCUGUGGAUGCCUUCUGAACAGCAGAUCUGACUUCCUCCUCAAACCAAGGCAUCCUGAAAACAUCCAAGCAGAGGAAGCAUUUUUUCACCAUGACAUGGGAAAGGGCCAUAGAGAUCCAAAUGGAAACGGACAUUUCAUGUGAGUGACUAUUUCUACCCCAGCUUGGCUUCUUGCCUAAUUCAACAGACACUUAGGUGGCUGAAGAGGGAAAUUUUUGUUAA
This 526-nucleotide long non-coding RNA is filed under the name Vulpes vulpes (red fox). RNAcentral's name for it is "lncRNA (ENSVVUG00000010900.1)". Lineage: Eukaryota; Metazoa; Chordata; Mammalia; Carnivora; Canidae. The record is from RNAcentral.